This 397-nucleotide ribosomal RNA is filed under the name uncultured bacterium. Its description in RNAcentral is "partial 16S ribosomal RNA". It matches the Rfam family "Bacterial small subunit ribosomal RNA", at positions 523 to 918 of the family's 1533-position model. The record is from RNAcentral.
AUACGUAGGGGGCGAGCGUUGUCCGGAAUGAUUGGGCGUAAAGGGCGCGUAGGCGGCCCGGUAAGUCUGGAGUGAAAGUCCUGUUUUUAAGAUGGGAAUUGCUUUGAAUACUGUCGGGCUUGAGUGCAGGAGAGGUAAGUGGAAUUCCCAGUGUAGCGGUGAAAUGCGUAGAGAUUGGGAGGAACACCAGUGGCGAAGGCGACUUACUGGACUGUAACUGACGCUGAGGCGCGAAAGUGUGGGGAGCAAACAGGAUUAGAUACCCUGGUAGUCCACACUGUAAACGAUGAAUGCUAGGUGUAGGGGGUAUCGACCCCUUCUGUGCCGCAGUCAACACAAUAAGCAUUCCGCCUGGGGAGUACGGCCGCAAGGUUGAAACUCAAAUGAAUUGACGGGG